Molecule: ribosomal RNA, 465 nt
Filed under: uncultured bacterium
Lineage: Bacteria
Description: bacterial SSU rRNA
Rfam family: Bacterial small subunit ribosomal RNA
Source: RNAcentral
CCCAGACUCCUACGGGAGGCAGCAGUGAGGAAUAUUGGUCAAUGGUCGGGAGACUGAACCAGCCAAGCCGCGUGAGGGAUGAAGGUACAGAGUAUCGUAAACCUCUUUUGUCAGGGAACAAAGGCGGGGACGUGUCCCCGGAUGAGUGUACCUGAAGAAAAAGCAUCGGCUAACUCCGUGCCAGCAGCCGCGGUAAUACGGAGGAUGCGAGCGUUAUCCGGAUUUACUGGGUGUAAAGGGAGCGUAGACGGCGAAGAAAGUCUGGAGUGAAAGCCCGCGGCUUAACCGCGGAACUGCUUUGGAAACUUUUUGGCUGGAGUACCGGAGAGGUAAGCGGAAUUCCUAGUGUAGCGGUGAAAUGCGUAGAUAUUAGGAGGAACACCAGUGGCGAAGGCGGCUUACUGGACGGUAACUGACGUUGAGGCUCGAAAGCGUGGGGAGCAAACAGGAUUAGAUACCCGCGUA